This 1415-nucleotide ribosomal RNA is filed under the name metagenome. RNAcentral describes it as "bacterial SSU rRNA". It matches the Rfam family "Bacterial small subunit ribosomal RNA". The record is from RNAcentral.
GCUGACGAGUGGCGAACGGGUGAGUAAUGUAUCGGAACGUACCAUUGAGUGGGGGAUAACGUAGCGAAAGUUACGCUAAUACCGCAUAUUCUCUCCGGAGGAAAGCAGGGGACCGCAAGGUCUUGCGCUCUUUGAGCGGCCGAUAUCAGAUUAGCUAGUUGGUGGGGUAAAAGCUCACCAAGGCGACGAUCUGUAGCGGGUCUGAGAGGAUGAUCCGCCACACUGGAACUGAGACACGGUCCAGACUCCUACGGGGGGCAGCAGUGGGGAAUUUUGGACAAUGGGGGCGACCCUGAUCCAGCCAUGCCGCGUGAGUGAAGAAGGCCUUCGGGUUGUAAAGCUCUUUCGGCCGGGAAGAAAUCGUAUCAGCUAAUACCUGGUGCGGAUGACGGUACCGGCAUAAGAAGCACCGGCUAACUACGUGCCAGCAGCCGCGGUAAUACGUAGGGUGCGAGCGUUAAUCGGAAUUACUGGGCGUAAAGCGUGCGCAGGCGGUUUUGUAAGACAGGCGUGAAAUCCCCGGGCUCAACCUGGGAACUGCGUUUGUGACUGCAAGGCUAGAGUACGGCAGAGGGGGGUGGAAUUCCACGUGUAGCAGUGAAAUGCGUAGAGAUGUGGAGGAACACCAAUGGCGAAGGCAGCCCCCUGGGUCGAUACUGACGCUCAUGCACGAAAGCGUGGGUAGCAAACAGGAUUAGAUACCCUGGUAGUCCACGCCCUAAACGAUGUCAACUAGGUGUUGGGAGGGUAAAACCUUUUAGUACCGGAGCUAACGCGUGAAGUUGACCCCUGGGGAGUACGGCCGCAAGGUUAAAACUCAAAGGAAUUGACGGGGACCCGCACAAGCGGUGGAUGAUGUGGAUUAAUUCGAUGCAACGCGAAAAACCUUACCUACCCUUGACAUGUCAGGAACUUUCCAGAGAUGGAUUGGUGCUCGAAAGAGAACCUGAACACAGGUGCUGCAUGGCUGUCGUCAGCUCGUGUCGUGAGAUGUUGGGUUAAGUCCCGCAACGAGCGCAACCCUUGUCGUUAAUUGCCAUCAUUUAGUUGGGCACUUUAGCGAGACUGCCGGUGACAAACCGGAGGAAGGUGGGGAUGACGUCAAGUCCUCAUGGCCCUUAUGGGUAGGGCUUCACACGUCAUACAAUGGUCGGUACAAAGGGUCGCCAAGCCGCGAGGUGGAGCUAAUCCCAGAAAGCCGAUCGUAGUCCGGAUUGCAGGCUGCAACUCGCCUGCAUGAAGUCGGAAUCGCUAGUAAUCGUGGAUCAGCAUGUCACGGUGAAUACGUUCCCGGGUCUUGUACACACCGCCCGUCACACCAUGGGAGCGGGUUCCGCCAGAAGUAGGUAGCCUAACCGCAAGGAGGGCGCUUACCACGGCGGGGUUCGUGACUGGGGUGAAGUCGGAACAAGGUA